RNAcentral lists this ribosomal RNA (497 nucleotides) under uncultured bacterium. RNAcentral describes it as "partial 16S ribosomal RNA". It matches the Rfam family "Bacterial small subunit ribosomal RNA", at positions 28 to 507 of the family's 1533-position model. The record is from RNAcentral.
GACGAACGCUGGCGGCGUGCCUAAUACAUGCAAGUUGAGCGAUGAAGAUUGGUGCUUGCACCAAUUUGCAGAGCAGCGAACGGGUGAGUAACGCGUGGGGAAUCUGCCUUUGAGCGGGGGACAACAUUUGGAAACGAAUGCUAAUACCGCAUAACAACUUUAAACAUAAGUUUUAAGUUUGAAAGAUGCAAUUGCAUCACUCAAGGAUGAUCCCGCGUUGUAUUAGCUAGUUGGUGAGGUAAAGGCUCACCAAGGCGAUGAUACAUAGCCGACCUGAGAGGGUGAUCGGCCACAUUGGGACUGAGACACGGCCCAAACUCCUACGGGAGGCAGCAGUAGGGAAUCUUCGGCAAUGGACGAAAGUCUGACCGAGCAACGCCGCGUGAGUGAAGAAGGUUGUCGGAUCGUAAAACUCUGUUGGUAGAGAAGAACGUUGGUGAGAGUGGAAAGCUCAUCAAGUGACGGUAACUACCCAGAAAGGGACGGCUAACUACGUG